This 483-nucleotide ribosomal RNA is filed under the name uncultured bacterium. RNAcentral describes it as "partial 16S ribosomal RNA". It matches the Rfam family "Bacterial small subunit ribosomal RNA", at positions 30 to 507 of the family's 1533-position model. The record is from RNAcentral.
AUUGAACGCUGGCGGCAGGCCUAACACAUGCAAGUCGAGCGGAUGAAGGGAGCUUGCUCCUGGAUUCAGCGGCGGACGGGUGAGUAAUGCCUAGGAAUCUGCCUGGUAGUGGGGGAUAACGUCCGGAAACGGGCGCUAAUACCGCAUACGUCCUGAGGGAGAAAGUGGGGGAUCUUCGGACCUCACGCUAUCAGAUGAGCCUAGGUCGGAUUAGCUAGUUGGUGGGGUAAAGGCCUACCAAGGCGACGAUCCGUAACUGGUCUGAGAGGAUGAUCAGUCACCUGGAACCUGGAACACGUCCCGAAUCCUAACGGACGCAAGCAUGGGGAAUAUUUGACCAAGGGCGGAAGGCUUGUUCCGGCCAGGCCGGUGGGUUGAAGAGGUCCUCCGGAUGGUAAGGCACUUUAGGUGGGGAGGAAGGGCAUUAGUUUAAUACCUGCCUGUUUGAAGGUACCCAACGAAUUAAGCACCGCCAACCUCGUU